Molecule: long non-coding RNA, 537 nt
Organism: Gossypium raimondii (Peruvian cotton)
Lineage: Eukaryota; Viridiplantae; Streptophyta; Magnoliopsida; Malvales; Malvaceae
Exons: 3
Source: RefSeq, a predicted model, not a curated record
AUAUAUAUAUAGGUAUGUGGAAACAAAAUUUCUCAUUUCUGUUUACACAUUUUUCUCUUUAUAACAUCAUCUUCUUCAGUUGCUCUAAGAAGAAGACGAUGUAGUUGAAGGAAGCUCUUCAUGUUGCAAUAGUAGUGUGCAUUGAAGUCUGGUAGUAAAGAAAUUGAGGAACUAGACAAAUGAGGCUCUGGUGUUCGGACAAGCUAAGUUGACAAGGAUAAGAAAGCAAUGAUAGAUAAAGACUUAGGCAUCAAGAGGGACCAAGCCAGACUCUAUCGAAGUGAAGUGGUGUGUGGGAACUGUUUAUGUAUAUAGAGGGGCACCCGUUGAGGCCUCGCCUCAGGGUUUAAGGUGAUUAUAUUUGUUAUAGAGUCUCAAUCCAAAAUUUUGCAAAUAUUCAUGGGAAUCAAUGUCGUAGGAAUUUAUCACAAAUUUUGUACGAGCUUAAAUGAUAGCUAGAUUUUGAAAUAAAGUUGUUCAAGCAUGUAAUUAAACUAGACAUAGAAGUAUCUUUAAGUUAUUCGGGUUGGUGUAGCA